Triticum aestivum (bread wheat) is the source of this 135-nucleotide non-coding RNA. The record is from Rfam. NCBI's taxonomy places the organism in Eukaryota, Viridiplantae, Streptophyta, Magnoliopsida, Poales, Poaceae.
UUUAUACUCCCUCCGUCCCAAAAUUCUUGUCUUAGAUUAGUCUAGAUACGGAUGUAUCUAAUAUCAAAACGUGACUUGAUACAUCCGUAUUUAGACAAAUCUAAGACAAGAAUUUUGGGACGGAGGGAGUAUUCA